CCCUUAGAUGUUCUGGGCCGCACGCGCGCUACACUGAUGCAUUCAACGAGUCUAAAACCUGCUCUGAUAGGGGUGGGUAACCUUUUGAAUGUGCAUCGUGAUUGGGAUAGAUGAUUGCAAUUUUUCAUCUUCAACGAGGAAUGCCUAGUAAACGCAAGUCAUCAGCUUGCAUUGAUUACGUCCCUGCCCUUUGUACACACCGCCCGUCGCUCCUACCGAUUGAAUGAUCCGAUGAAUAUCAUGGAUUGAGGAUGCAAGUAGGUUCGCCUAUCUUCAUCUUCGAGAAGUGAAGUAAAUCUUAUCAUUUAGAGGAAGGAGAAGUCGUAACA
This 329-nucleotide ribosomal RNA is filed under the name uncultured eukaryote. RNAcentral describes it as "partial 18S ribosomal RNA". It matches the Rfam family "Eukaryotic small subunit ribosomal RNA", at positions 1470 to 1796 of the family's 1831-position model. The record is from RNAcentral.